GCUGAUAAAAUAUUCCCGUACCGAUCUGUAAUGCGAUGGGGGGACGGAGAAGGUUAGCUCAGCCAACUGUUGGAAUAGUUGGUUUAAGCGUGUAGUCGUGCUGCAUAGGCAAAUCCGUGCGGCUUAGAUGAGGCGUGAUGACGAGGCACUUCGGUGCUGAAGUGAGUGAUACCCUGCUUCCAGGAAAAGCCUCUAAGCUUCAGUUACAGAUUGACCGUACCGCAAACCGACACAGGUGGGCAGGAUGAAAAUUCUAAGGCGCUUGAGAGAACUCAGGAGAAGGAACUCGGCAAAUUGAUACCGUAACUUCGGGAGAAGGUAUGCCUCGGUAGCGUGAAGCCCCUGCGGGUGGAGCGUGAUGAGGUCGCAGAGAAUCGGUGGCUGCAACUGUUUAAUAAAAACACAGCACUCUGCAAAGGCGAAAGCCGACGUAUAGGGUGUGACGCCUGCCCGGUGCCGGAAGGUUAAGUGAUGGGGUGCAAGCUCUUGAUCGAAGCCCCGGUAAACGGCGGCCGUAACGAUAACGGUUCUAAGGUAGCGAAAUUCCUUGUCGGGUAAGUUCCGACCUGCACGAAUGGCGUAAUGAUGGCCACACUGUCUCCUCCUGAGACUCAGCGAAGUUGAAAUGUUUGUGAAGAUGCAAUCUCCCCGCGGCUAGACGGAAAGACCCCAUGAACCUUUACUGUAGCUUUGCAUUGGACUUUGACGGGACUUGUGUAGGAUAGGUGGGAGGCUGUGAGGCGUGGUCGCCAGAUCGCGCGGAGCCGACGUUGAAAUACCACCCUGGUGUCGUUGAGGUUCUAACCUUGGUCCGUGAAUCCGGAUCGGGGACCGUGCAUGGCGGGCAGUUUGACUGGGGCGGUCUCCUCCCAAAGUGUAACGGAGGAGUACGAAGGCCUUCUAAGCACGGUCGGACAUCGUGCUCAUAGUGCAAUGGCAAAAGAAGGCUUGACUGCGAGUCCCACAAGACGAGCAGGUGCGAAAGCAGGUCAUAGUGAUCCGGUGGUUCUGUAUGGAAGGGCCAUCGCUCAACGGAUAAAAGGUACUCUGGGGAUAACAGGCUGAUUCCGCCCAAGAGUUCAUAUCGACGGCGGAGUUUGGCACCUCGAUGUCGGCUCAUCACAUCCUGGGGCUGUAGCCGGGCUCAAGGGUAUGGCUGUUCGCCAUUUAAAGUGGUACGUGAGCUGGGUUUAAAACGUCGUGAGACAGUUUGGUCCCUAUCUGCCGUGGGCGCUGGAAAUUUGAGGGGGCCUGCUCCUAGUACGAGAGGACCGGAGUGACGGAUCUCUGGUGUACCGGUUGUCACGCCAGUGGCAUCGCCGGGUAGCUAAAUCCGGAAGAGAUAAACGCUGAAAGCAUCUAAGCGUGAAACUCGCCUCAAGAUGAGAUUUCCCGGGAGUUCAACUCCCCUGAAGGGUCGUCCUAGACCAGGACGUUGAUAGGUCAGGUGUGGAAGCGCAGUAAUGCGUUAAGCUAACUGAUACUAAUUGCCCGUGCGGCUUGAC
Molecule: ribosomal RNA, 1505 nt
Filed under: metagenome
Description: bacterial LSU rRNA
Rfam family: Bacterial large subunit ribosomal RNA
Source: RNAcentral